GAUGAAGAACGUAGUGAAAUGCGAUAAGUAAUGUGAAUUGCAGAAUUUAGUGAAUCAUCGAAUCUUUGAACGCACAUUGCGCCCCCUGGUAUUCCGGGGGGCAUGCCUGUUCGAGCGUCAUUUCACCACUCAAGCCUCGCUUGGUAUUGGGCAACGCGGUCCGCCGCGUGCCUCAAAUCGACCGGCUGGGUCUUCUGUCCCCUAAGCGUUGUGGAAACUAUUCGCUAAAGGGUGCUCGGGAGGCUACGCCGUAAAACAAACCCAUUUCUAAGGUUGACCUCGGAUCAGGUAGGGAUACCCGCUGAACUUAAGCAUAUCAAUAAGCGGAGGA
This 331-nucleotide unclassified non-coding RNA is filed under the name soil metagenome. RNAcentral describes it as "partial contains 5.8S ribosomal RNA, internal transcribed spacer 2, and large subunit ribosomal RNA". The stretch from base 1 to 120 matches the Rfam family "5.8S ribosomal RNA", at positions 35 to 154 of the family's 154-position model. The record is from RNAcentral.